CCACGCAAGAUCUGGGGCAUUCGAAGUUUAUCGGGCAGCCAUGAGAAUUCUUAGGAAUCCUAUUCGCAAAAUAAUUCGCAAUAAACAAUUAUGUUUCCUUUGCUGAAAGAGAAAGAAAUUUUUUGCAGUAAUUUGAUGAAAUUUUCAUUCUAUUAUAUACAUUUACAUGUUAAAAUGAAAUUAACCCUUCUUUUCAUUGACUCUUCAGCUAAAAAAGAUUUAUCGAACAUACAUGCACUGAACCGGGAAAACAUUCCCAGACAUAAUGGCUCUUUUUCCUUAUCUCCAGGAGAUGAUAACGCACAUUUCAGUUUCUAAAGAUCCCUGCCGGCGAGUGCUCCAGAGAGAAGGUGAAUGAUCCAAAUUGAGCCAUGUACUCACUUCAUUUUGGUUGUUUCCUCCAAAUUGUCCAUUUAAUCAUAUUUCUUGAAAAUUUCAUUGCCCAUUAGGUCUCAUAAUAGAGACUGAAUAUAUCUCUGACACCAUUUAAUUUUUCCUUUAACCAGAUAUUGUAGUUCAAGAAUUGCCCCCUCUAUAGAUAAAUCUAUCACAUCAUAAAUCUAUCGCAUAUUCUCCCUGCCGGUGAGUGCUCCAGAGAGAAGUUGGUCCAUUCAAACUGAGCCAUAUCCUCCAUUGCUUUCGUGGCCUCCAAAUUGUUCAUUUUCUCAUCUUUCCUAGAAAAUUCCCUCAAUGGGAAUCAUGUUUCACAUUGAAGUUAGAAUAUAUUUCUUUUAACCAGAUAUUGUAGUUCAAGACUUUCCCCUUUCUGUAGAUAAAUCUAUCACAUCGGUAUAAUAUAUUCUCUGCGAAAAUUCAACUCCUCAAGGACUGAACCAAUAAUUUUCGGAUUGAAUGACUGAAGCAUUCACACGAAAAAAGCAGAGAUUCUGUUUAUAUAGUUUUUUAAAUUUAUAUCCUCAGUAGAUUUCAAAUGUAUACUAAAAUUCCCAAAUACCUUUUUGAUUCAACUUUAUUUGAAAAAUAUGAUGAUAUUAAAUUGUGCAUAAUAAAAAAAUUACUUAAAUUGUA
Long non-coding RNA from Argiope bruennichi, 1029 nucleotides. RefSeq lists it as uncharacterized. The record is from RefSeq and is a predicted model, not a curated record. Lineage: Eukaryota; Metazoa; Arthropoda; Arachnida; Araneae; Araneidae. The transcript has 3 exons.